CAGAGGGGGCAAGCGUUGCUCGGAAUCACUGGGCGUAAAGGGCGCGUAGGCGGGAUGGCAAGUCGGUCGUGAAAUCCUUCGGCUCAACCGAAGAACGUCGGCCGAUACUGCCGUUCUUGAGGGAUGCAGAGGAGAUUGGAAUUCCCGGUGUAGCGGUGAAAUGUGUAGAGAUCGGGAGGAACACCGGUGGCGAAGGCGGGUCUCUGGGCAUCUCCUGACGCUGAGGCGCGAAAGCGUGGGGAGCAAACGGGAUUAGAUACCCCGGUAGUCCACGCUGUAAACGAUGACGACUAGGUGUGGGGGGGGUUAGUCCCUUCCGUGCCGCAGCUAACGCAUUAAGUCGUCCGCCUGGGGAGUACGGCCGCAAGGUUG
This 372-nucleotide ribosomal RNA is filed under the name uncultured organism. Its description in RNAcentral is "bacterial SSU rRNA". It matches the Rfam family "Bacterial small subunit ribosomal RNA", at positions 526 to 896 of the family's 1533-position model. The record is from RNAcentral.